Molecule: transfer RNA, 72 nt
Filed under: Microbacterium resistens
Lineage: Bacteria; Bacillati; Actinomycetota; Actinomycetes; Micrococcales; Microbacteriaceae
Description: tRNA-Asn
Rfam family: tRNA
About the family: Transfer RNA (tRNA) molecules are approximately 80 nucleotides in length. Their secondary structure includes four short double-helical elements and three loops (D, anti-codon, and T loops).
Source: RNAcentral
UGGCCGGUAGCUCAGUGGCAGAGCACCUCACUGUUAAUGAGACGCGCGCAGGUUCGAAUCCUGCUCGGCCAG